UUUCCAAAACCAAAUUUGUUGUAACCCAUUUAAGAAAUACAAAAACAAACUAGUGAUACUGGAUAAGUGGUAGACAUAUCUCAUACGGCUAUUAUUUCUGUCUGUGAGACAAAAGUAACAGGUAUAUGAACCAAACUGAUGUUAUCUCUGUCUUACAGAGAGAAAUAGCAGAUUUCUUGUUCAGAACAAGAAAGGCUUUACAGAAAGAUUUUUUUUUUCAAAUCAUUACAUCCAAAAGAUGAUGAUCAACAGAGGAGCAGAAAGCAAAACGAAAAAACGUAUAUUUCAAGCAGCAGUUUAAUGUGACUUGAAAGAAACAAUACAAGUAAACGAGCAUUGGUAUAUUAACCAGAGAAGCAUUUAGAGUAAAACAACUGGAAAACCGAAAACAAAAUACUGUUUUUACCUGGAGAACUGGAUAUAUUUUAAAAUGAUUUUUGUUUGGUUUUUGAAUGGAGUUCUUCAUGUGCUUGUUUAUAAUGCAAAUGCUACAUUGAAAUGUAAAUAAAAAUAUUACAAUAAAACGUAUAUGCAAAUGUUAAAAUGUUACGUAAAUGUUAU
Molecule: non-coding RNA, 561 nt
Organism: Hydra vulgaris (swiftwater hydra)
Lineage: Eukaryota; Metazoa; Cnidaria; Hydrozoa; Anthoathecata; Hydridae
Source: RefSeq, a predicted model, not a curated record